UACGAAGGGGGCUAGCGUUGCUCGGAGUCACUGGGCGUAAAGCGCACGUAGGCGGCUUUUUAAGUCAGGGGUGAAAUCCUGGAGCUCAACUCCAGAACUGCCUUUGAUACUGAGAAGCUUGAGUCCGGGAGAGGUGAGUGGAACUGCGAGUGUAGAGGUGAAAUUCGUAGAUAUUCGCAAGAACACCAGUGGCGAAGGCGGCUCACUGGCCCGGUACUGACGCUGAGGUGCGAAAGCGUGGGGAGCAAACAGG
Molecule: ribosomal RNA, 253 nt
Filed under: uncultured bacterium
Lineage: Bacteria
Description: partial 16S ribosomal RNA
Rfam family: Bacterial small subunit ribosomal RNA
Source: RNAcentral